AAGACUGUACUUAUACAGGAUCUUUCUUAUAGUAAUUACUUACUGUAAGUUUCUUCAUUUGAAGACAACAACUCAAUCUAGGAUGAUUAAAAGGACACUCUCAUCCGUAAAUGGGAUACAGAAACCAUUAGUAUUUUAUUCUCUUCGGAGAAUAGGUAUUUUUGCGUUUCACGAUGAUCAUCCAUCGCUGUGUUUGACCGAUCGUCUAUACGAAAAGUCACCAGUGGUUGGAGGGUGUGAGUGCUUCUGACUAGAU
Molecule: small nucleolar RNA, 256 nt
Organism: Tetrahymena thermophila SB210
Lineage: Eukaryota; Ciliophora; Oligohymenophorea; Hymenostomatida; Tetrahymenidae
Rfam family: ACEA small nucleolar RNA U3
About the family: Small nucleolar RNAs (snoRNAs) are involved in the processing and modification of rRNA in the nucleolus. There are two main classes of snoRNAs: the box C/D class, and the box H/ACA class.
Source: Rfam